UUAGAGUUUGAUCCUGGCUCAGGACGAACGCUGGCGGCGCGCCUAACACAUGCAAGUCGAACGGAGCUUAGAGAGCUUGCUUUUUAAGCUUAGUGGCGAACGGGUGAGUAACGCGUGAGUAACCUGCCCUAGAGUGGGGGACAACAGUUGGAAACGACUGCUAAUACCGCAUAAGCCCACGGUACCGCAUGGUACUGAGGGAAAAGGAUUUAUUCGCUUUAGGAUGGACUCGCGUCCAAUUAGCUAGUUGGUGAGGUAACGGCCCACCAAGGCGACGAUUGGUAGCCGGACUGAGAGGUUGAACGGCCACAUUGGGACUGAGACACGGCCCAGACUCCUACGGGAGGCAGCAGUGGGGGAUAUUGCACAAUGGGGGAAACCCUGAUGCAGCGACGCCGCGUGGAGGAAGAAGGUUUUCGGAUUGUAAACUCCUGUCGUUAGGGACGAUAAUGACGGUACCUAACAAGAAAGCACCGGCUAACUACGUGCCAGCAGCCGCGGUAAAACGUAGGGUGCAAGCGUUGUCCGGAAUUACUGGGUGUAAAGGGAGCGCAGGCGGGAAGACAAGUUGGAAGUGAAAACCAUGGGCUCAACCCAUGAAUUGCUUUCAAAACUGUUUUUCUUGAGUAGUGCAGAGGUAGAUGGAAUUCCCGGUGUAGCGGUGGAAUGCGUAGAUAUCGGGAGGAACACCAGUGGCGAAGGCGGUCUACUGGGCACCAACUGACGCUGAGGCUCGAAAGCAUGGGUAGCAAACAGGAUUAGAUACCCUGGUAGUCCAUGCCGUAAACGAUGAUUACUAGGUGUUGGGGGGAAUUGACCCCCUCAGUGCCGCAGUUAACACAAUAAGUAAUCCACCUGGGGAGUACGACCGCAAGGUUGAAACUCAAAGGAAUUGACGGGGGCCCGCACAAGCAGUGGAGUAUGUGGUUUAAUUCGAAGCAACGCGAAGAACCUUACCAGGUCUUGACAUCCGAUGCAUAGCACAGAGAUGUGUGAAAUCCUUCGGGACAUCGAGACAGGUGGUGCAUGGUUGUCGUCAGCUCGUGUCGUGAGAUGUUGGGUUAAGUCCCGCAACGAGCGCAACCCUUAUUGCCAGUUACUACGUCAAGAGGACUCUGGCGAGACUGCCGUUGACAAAACGGAGGAAGGUGGGGAUGACGUCAAAUCAUCAUGCCCUUUAUGACCUGGGCUACACACGUACUACAAUGGCGUUAAACAAAGAGAAGCAAGACCGCGAGGUGGAGCAAAACUCAAAAACAACGUCUCAGUUCAGAUUGCAGGCUGCAACUCGCCUGCAUGAAGUCGGAAUUGCUAGUAAUCGCGGAUCAGCAUGCCGCGGUGAACACGUUCCCGGGCCUUGCACUCACCGCCCGUCA
RNAcentral lists this ribosomal RNA (1376 nucleotides) under uncultured bacterium. RNAcentral describes it as "16S ribosomal RNA". It matches the Rfam family "Bacterial small subunit ribosomal RNA". The record is from RNAcentral.